Molecule: ribosomal RNA, 1356 nt
Filed under: uncultured marine eukaryote
Lineage: Eukaryota
Description: SSU rRNA
Rfam family: Eukaryotic small subunit ribosomal RNA
Source: RNAcentral
CACAUCCAAGGAAGGCAGCAGGCGCGCAAAUUACCCAAUCCUGACUCAGGGAGGUAGUGACAAGAAAUAACAAUAAACCGGCUUAUGCCGGUUUAAUUGGAAUGAGUACAAUUUAAACAUCUUAACGAGGAACAAUUGGAGGGCAAGUCUGGUGCCAGCAGCCGCGGUAAUUCCAGCUCCAAUAGCGUAUACUAAAGUUGUUGCAGUUAAAAAGCUCGUAGUUGGAUUUCUGUGGGGACGGAGCGGCCGGCCGCAACACGCGGUUCGAGCUAGCGCUUUCCCUACAUCCUGCCGCGAACCGUGCUACCAUUAGUUUGGUGGCGCCGGGGAUCGGCUCGAUUACUUUGAGAAAAAUAGAGUGUUCAAAGCAGGCCACACGCCUUGAAUAAGUUAGCAUGGAAUAAUAACUAAGGACUUUGGUUCUAUUUUGUUGGUUUCUAGGACCGAAGUAAUGAUUAAUAGGGAUAGUUGGGGGCAUUAGUAUUUAAUUGUCAGAGGUGAAAUUCUUGGAUUUAUGAAAGACUAACAUCUGCGAAAGCAUUUGCCAAGGGUGUUUUCAUUGAUCAAGAACGAAAGUUAGGGGAUCGAAGACGAUCAGAUACCGUCGUAGUCUCAACUAUAAACUAUACCAGCUAGGGAUCGGCCAACGUUAUUUUAUACCGACUUGGUCGGCACCUUAUGAGAAAUCAAAGAUUAUGGGUUCAGGGGGGAGUACAUUCGCAAGGCUGAAACUUAAAGGAAUUGACGGAAUGACACCACAAGGCGUGGAGUAUGCGGCUUAAUUUGACUCAACACGGGAAAACUUACCAGGUCCAGACAUAGUAAGGAUUGACAGAUUGAUAGCUCUUUCUUGAUUCUGUGGGUGGUGGUGCAUGGCCGUUCUUAGUUGGUGGAGUGAUUUGUCUGGUUAAUUCCGUUAACGAACGAGACCCCAGCCUGCUAAAUAGCGCGCGUGAGCUUUGCUCGCGGCGAGCUUCUUAGAGGGACUCUGAUGCGCGAUAGCACAUGGAAGUUUGGGGCAAUAACAGGUCUGUGAUGCCCUUAGAUGUUCUGGGCCGCACACGGGCUACACUGGCGCCUGCAUCGAGCAUAUCAGCUGGCCCGAGAGGGUCUUGGCUAAUCUUUUGAACCGGCGCCGUGCUUGGGAUUGACCUUUGCAAUUGUUGGUCAUGCAACGAGGAAUGCCUUGUAAACGCGAGUCAUCAGCUCGCAUUGAAUACGUCCCUGCCCUUUGUACACACCGCCCGUCGCUCCUACCGAUGAAUGUUCCGAUGAAAUUUUCGGAGAGUGCCUGUGAACUUGGCUCUGCCUUGCGAACGGGAAGCUCAAAGUCACUUAAAUCUGAACAUUUCGAGG